RNAcentral lists this ribosomal RNA (1422 nucleotides) under Enterococcus durans. Its description in RNAcentral is "bacterial SSU rRNA". It matches the Rfam family "Bacterial small subunit ribosomal RNA". The record is from RNAcentral. Lineage: Bacteria; Bacillati; Bacillota; Bacilli; Lactobacillales; Enterococcaceae.
CAGUCGUACGCUUCUUUUUCCCCGGAGCUUGCUCCACCGGAAAAAGAAGAGUGGCGAACGGGUGAGUAACACGUGGGUAACCUGCCCAUCAGAAGGGGAUAACACUUGGAAACAGGUGCUAAUACCGUAUAACAAUCGAAACCGCAUGGUUUUGAUUUGAAAGGCGCUUUCGGGUGUCGCUGAUGGAUGGACCCGCGGUGCAUUAGCUAGUUGGUGAGGUAACGGCUCACCAAGGCCACGAUGCAUAGCCGACCUGAGAGGGUGAUCGGCCACAUUGGGACUGAGACACGGCCCAAACUCCUACGGGAGGCAGCAGUAGGGAAUCUUCGGCAAUGGACGAAAGUCUGACCGAGCAACGCCGCGUGAGUGAAGAAGGUUUUCGGAUCGUAAAACUCUGUUGUUAGAGAAGAACAAGGAUGAGAGUAACUGUUCAUCCCUUGACGGUAUCUAACCAGAAAGCCACGGCUAACUACGUGCCAGCAGCCGCGGUAAUACGUAGGUGGCAAGCGUUGUCCGGAUUUAUUGGGCGUAAAGCGAGCGCAGGCGGUUUCUUAAGUCUGAUGUGAAAGCCCCCGGCUCAACCGGGGAGGGUCAUUGGAAACUGGGAGACUUGAGUGCAGAAGAGGAGAGUGGAAUUCCAUGUGUAGCGGUGAAAUGCGUAGAUAUAUGGAGGAACACCAGUGGCGAAGGCGGCUCUCUGGUCUGUAACUGACGCUGAGGCUCGAAAGCGUGGGGAGCAAACAGGAUUAGAUACCCUGGUAGUCCACGCCGUAAACGAUGAGUGCUAAGUGUUGGAGGGUUUCCGCCCUUCAGUGCUGCAGCUAACGCAUUAAGCACUCCGCCUGGGGAGUACGACCGCAAGGUUGAAACUCAAAGGAAUUGACGGGGGCCCGCACAAGCGGUGGAGCAUGUGGUUUAAUUCGAAGCAACGCGAAGAACCUUACCAGGUCUUGACAUCCUUUGACCACUCUAGAGAUAGAGCUUCCCCUUCGGGGGCAAAGUGACAGGUGGUGCAUGGUUGUCGUCAGCUCGUGUCGUGAGAUGUUGGGUUAAGUCCCGCAACGAGCGCAACCCUUAUUGUUAGUUGCCAUCAUUUAGUUGGGCACUCUAGCAAGACUGCCGGUGACAAACCGGAGGAAGGUGGGGAUGACGUCAAAUCAUCAUGCCCCUUAUGACCUGGGCUACACACGUGCUACAAUGGGAAGUACAACGAGUCGCGAAGUCGCGAGGCUAAGCUAAUCUCUUAAAGCUUCUCUCAGUUCGGAUUGUAGGCUGCAACUCGCCUACAUGAAGCCGGAAUCGCUAGUAAUCGCGGAUCAGCACGCCGCGGUGAAUACGUUCCCGGGCCUUGUACACACCGCCCGUCACACCACGAGAGUUUGUAACACCCGAAGUCGGUGAGGUAACCUUUGAGCCAGCCGC